Molecule: ribosomal RNA, 552 nt
Filed under: Yamadazyma endomychidarum
Lineage: Eukaryota; Fungi; Ascomycota; Pichiomycetes; Serinales; Debaryomycetaceae
Description: eukaryotic LSU rRNA
Rfam family: Eukaryotic large subunit ribosomal RNA
Source: RNAcentral
AUAUCAAUAAGCGGAGGAAAAGAAACCAACAGGGAUUGCCUUAGUAGCGGCGAGUGAAGCGGCAAUAGCUCAAAUUUGAAAUCUGGCGUCUUCGGCGUCCGAGUUGUAAUUUGAAGAAGGUAUCUUUGGUUUUGGCUCUUGUCUAUGUUCCUUGGAACAGGACGUCACAGAGGGUGAGAAUCCCGUGCGAUGAGAUGCCCAAUUCCAUGUAAAGUUCCUUCGACGAGUCGAGUUGUUUGGGAAUGCAGCUCUAAGUGGGUGGUAAAUUCCAUCUAAAGCUAAAUAUUGGCGAGAGACCGAUAGCGAACAAGUACUGUGAAGGAAAGAUGAAAAGAACUUUGAAAAGAGAGUGAAAAAGUACGUGAAAUUGUUGAAAGGGAAGGGCUUGAGAUCAGACUUGGAAUUUUCCAGCAAUGGAGCUUUCCGGGCCAGCAUCAGUUUGGAUGGCAGGAUAAUUGCGUAGGAAAGUGGCUCCACUACGGUGGAGUGUUAUAGCCUGCGUCGAUACUGCCUGUCUAGACUGAGGACUGCGUCUUUGACUAGGAUGCUGGC